UACAGAGGUCCCGAGCGUUGUUCGGAUUUACUGGGCGUAAAGGAUGCGUAGGCGGACAUUUAAGUCAGAUGUGAAAUACCCGAGCUUAACUUGGGUGCUGCAUUUGAAACUGGGUGUCUAGAGUGCAGGAGAGGUAAGUGGAAUUCCUAGUGUAGCGGUGAAAUGCGUAGAGAUUAGGAAGAACACCAGUGGCGAAGGCGACUUACUGGACUGUAACUGACGCUGAGGCAUGAAAGCGUGGGGAGCAAACAGG
This 253-nucleotide ribosomal RNA is filed under the name uncultured bacterium. RNAcentral describes it as "partial 16S ribosomal RNA". It matches the Rfam family "Bacterial small subunit ribosomal RNA", at positions 524 to 776 of the family's 1533-position model. The record is from RNAcentral.